Long non-coding RNA from Danio aesculapii, 1097 nucleotides. RefSeq lists it as uncharacterized. Lineage: Eukaryota; Metazoa; Chordata; Actinopteri; Cypriniformes; Danionidae. The transcript is spliced from 2 exons. The record is from RefSeq and is a predicted model, not a curated record.
UCCUCUUAAAAUCUUUGGGUAUUAAUAUAUACUUUUGAGGUGCCAAUAUGGACUCUUUAGGUACAAUUGUGUAAGGUACCACCCCAGUGACAGUUGGUGUACCUUUAUUUCUGAGAGUGUAUUAUAGAAGUUAAUAAUUAAUGACUGUGUUUCUUUAAACAAGCUCUUAAAUGAUGAUUCAUGCUUUAAUAUGGAAAUCAUUCAUAAAAUUACUUUGCCUUUCCAGUAAUAUUUAUUUUCAUAAAUAUUGUAAUAAAGGAGAUGUUCAAUCCUUUUGUACCUUUUAUAUGGGAACACUUGUGUACCUUCAUUUGAGUUGUACCAUAAAAGGUACAGAUCAGUAUCAUAAGAGGUCUUUUCUGUACCAUAUAAGGUACAUCUUUUAUAAAGGUGCAAAACUGUUCCUCUAGGAACAUUAUUUGUACCACCCUGUACCUUUUUUUCUGAGAGUGUAUAAUACAAUAUACACAAAGUUCACAAACACUUUUAGGAUUUGCAUGUAGCAUGUAAAUAUUUUGUUUGCAUAUGCUGUACACUGUUGUUUACCCCAAAUACAGUAUGACCACUAUCUUUACAUUCGUAAAAUUCAUUCCAUUGCUGAAAACACCAAACUAGAUUAGCUUUAAUAAUGACAUUAGGUGAGUUAUGGUGAGUGGAUAUUAUUGAUUCUAACUGUUAUGCCUUUAAAUGUUACUAUGAAUGAUGACAAAAUGCCUUUUGAGUAACUUGUGCUUCAUGCUAAUUGCUUUGCUUAGCCCUUUACAGUUUGAUUUGUUACAGUAUGUUUGUUUUAUACUGUGUAUGGGUCAAAUUAGAAAAUGACUUUAUAUACCAAAAGAUCUUGUCUGCCAAGAAUCAUUAAAUAAAGACUCUAAUAAAAGAUUACGAGUUUACAGUGCAGCCCGCAAAUGGUGAUUAAUUGUCAUGUAUAAUCUUUAUACUUUGCUGCUGUCUUAAAAACCACACAGUUUUAUCAGUUAGACAGUUUUUAGCAUUUAAAAUCUUAUACAAUUUAUAAUGAUCACUUAUUGUUUUAUUUUAACAAUUGAAUGUUGUAAGUGUGUUGUAUCAAUUUUAAAUAAAUAUGUUAUUCUGAA